RNAcentral lists this ribosomal RNA (391 nucleotides) under uncultured Escherichia sp. RNAcentral's name for it is "bacterial SSU rRNA". It matches the Rfam family "Bacterial small subunit ribosomal RNA", at positions 505 to 899 of the family's 1533-position model. Lineage: Bacteria; Pseudomonadati; Pseudomonadota; Gammaproteobacteria; Enterobacterales; Enterobacteriaceae. The record is from RNAcentral.
GUGCCAGCAGCUGCGGUAAUACGGAGGGUGCAAGCGUUAAUCGGAAUUACUGGGCGUAAAGCGCACGCAGGCGGUCUGACAAGUCGGAUGUGAAAUCCCCGGGCUCAACCUGGGAACUGCAUUCGAAACUGUCAGGCUGGAGUCUUGUAGAGGGGGUAGAAUUCCAGGUGUAGCGGUGAAAUGCGUAGAGAUCUGGAGGAAUACCGGUGGCGAAGGCGGCCCCCUGGACAAAGACUGACGCUCAGGUGCGAAAGCGUGGGAGCAAACAGGAUUAGAUACCCUGGUAGUCCACGCUGUAAACGAUGUCGACUUGGAGGUUGUGCCCUUGAGGCGUGGUUUCCGGAGCUAACGCGUUAAGUCGACGCCUGGGAGUACGGCCGCAAGGUUAAAC